RNAcentral lists this ribosomal RNA (450 nucleotides) under uncultured bacterium. Its description in RNAcentral is "partial 16S ribosomal RNA". It matches the Rfam family "Bacterial small subunit ribosomal RNA", at positions 354 to 796 of the family's 1533-position model. The record is from RNAcentral.
GUGGGGAAUCUUCCGCAAUGGACGAAAGUCUGACGGAGCAACGCCGCGUGAGUGAAGAAGGUUUUCGGAUCGUAAAGCUCUUUCGUUAGGGACGAACGUGCUCUUUGUGAAUAAUGAGGAGUAAUGACGGUACCUAAAUAAGAAGCCACGGCUAACUACGUGCCAGCAGCCGCGGUAAUACGUAGGUGGCAAGCGUUGUCCGGAAUUAUUGGGCGUAAAGCGCGCGCAGGCGGGAUAUCAAGUCUGUCUUAAAAGUGGGAGGCUCAACCUCGUGAGGGGACAGAAACUGGUAUUCUUGAGUGUCGGAGAGGAAAGUGGAAUUCCAAGUGUAGCGGUGAAAUGCGUAGAGAUUUGGAAGAACACCAGUGGCGAAGGCGACUUUCUGGACGAUGUCUGACGCUGAGGCGCGAAAGCUAGGGGAGCGAACGGGAUUAGAUACCCGGGUAGUCC